This 506-nucleotide ribosomal RNA is filed under the name uncultured bacterium. RNAcentral's name for it is "partial 16S ribosomal RNA". It matches the Rfam family "Bacterial small subunit ribosomal RNA", at positions 29 to 523 of the family's 1533-position model. The record is from RNAcentral.
AGUGAACGCUGGCGGUAGGCCUAACACAUGCAAGUCGAACGGCAGCACAGGAGAGCUUGCUCUCUGGGUGGCGAGUGGCGGACGGGUGAGGAAUACAUCGGAAUCUACUUUUUCGUGGGGGAUAACGUAGGGAAACUUACGCUAAUACCGCAUACGACCUACGGGUGAAAGCAGGGGAUCUUCGGACCUUGCGCAAUUGAAUGAGCCGAUGUCGGAUUAGCUAGUUGGCGGGGUAAAGGCCCACCAAGGCGACGAUCCGUAGCUGGUCUGAGAGGAUGAUCAGCCACACUGGAACUGAGACACGGUCCAGACUCCUACGGGAGGCAGCAGUGGGGAAUAUUGGGCAAUGGGCGCAAGCCUGAUCCAGCCAUACCGCGUGGGUGAAGAAGGCCUUCGGGUUGUAAAGCCCUUUUGUUGGGAAAGAAAUCCAGCUGGCUAAUACCCGGUUGGGAUGACGGUACCCAAAGAAUAAGCACCGGCUAACUUCGUGCCAGCAGCCGCCGCGG